UAGUGGCGAACGGGUGAGUAACACGUGGGCAAUCUGCCCUUCACUCUGGGACAAGCCCUGGAAACGGGGUCUAAUACCGGAUACGACACGGGGUCGCAUGACCUCCGUGUGGAAAGCUCCGGCGGUGAAGGAUGAGCCCGCGGCCUAUCAGCUUGUUGGUGGGGUGAUGGCCUACCAAGGCGACGACGGGUAGCCGGCCUGAGAGGGCGACCGGCCACACUGGGACUGAGACACGGCCCAGACUCCUACGGGAGGCAGCAGUGGGGAAUAUUGCACAAUGGGCGAAAGCCUGAUGCAGCGACGCCGCGUGAGGGAUGACGGCCUUCGGGUUGUAAACCUCUUUCAGCAGGGAAGAAGCGAGAGUGACGGUACCUGCAGAAGAAGCGCCGGCUAACUACGUGCCAGCAGCCGCGGUAAUACGUAGGGCGCAAGCGUUGUCCGGAAUUAUUGGGCGUAAAGAGCUCGUAGGCGGCUUGUCGCGUCGGAUGUGAAAGCCCGGGGCUUAACCCCGGGUCUGCAUUCGAUACGGGCAGGCUAGAGUUCGGUAGGGGAGAUCGGAAUUCCU
RNAcentral lists this ribosomal RNA (565 nucleotides) under Streptomyces sp. 337D07. RNAcentral's name for it is "bacterial SSU rRNA". It matches the Rfam family "Bacterial small subunit ribosomal RNA", at positions 93 to 671 of the family's 1533-position model. Lineage: Bacteria; Bacillati; Actinomycetota; Actinomycetes; Kitasatosporales; Streptomycetaceae. The record is from RNAcentral. RNAcentral also lists the same sequence under 1 other name.